UACAGAGGGUGCGAGCGUUGUCCGGAAUCACUGGGCGUAAAGGGCGCGUAGGUGGCCCGAUAAGUCGGGGGUGAAACGCUGCGGCUCAACCGCAGCACUGCCUUCGAGACUGUCAGGCUUGAGCACGGUAGAGGCAGGUGGAAUUCCCGGUGUAGCGGUGGAAUGCGUAGAGAUCGGGAAGAACAUCGGUGGCGAAGGCGACCUGCUGGGCCGUUGCUGACACUGAGGCGCGACAGCGUGGGGAGCAAACAGG
This 253-nucleotide ribosomal RNA is filed under the name uncultured bacterium. RNAcentral describes it as "partial 16S ribosomal RNA". It matches the Rfam family "Bacterial small subunit ribosomal RNA", at positions 524 to 776 of the family's 1533-position model. The record is from RNAcentral.